Long non-coding RNA from Meriones unguiculatus (Mongolian gerbil), 383 nucleotides. RefSeq lists it as uncharacterized. The record is from RefSeq and is a predicted model, not a curated record. Lineage: Eukaryota; Metazoa; Chordata; Mammalia; Rodentia; Muridae. The transcript is spliced from 2 exons.
UUCAAAUAAAGAACAAUACCUCCACACAUAGCUUUUCUUUCCAACAUAACAACAGAAAUGCAGACUGCUGUCUAAAGAGAAGAAAGGACGACACACACCAUUAGUCCUGUCAAGCCCAUGAACAGGGCACUUAGACGAGUCCACUCAGCAAAGCCUGCAGUCCAACUUGGAAUGAAAGAAACAUUUUUUCCCCUCCCUCCUGGAAGUUCUUUUAGUGGGCCUGGCCCCUCAAAGACAGCGAUGUGACGCAUCUCUACAACAGCCUAAACAAAUACAAGAAAAUGAUGAGAACCCCCCCCAAUCCCAUUGUGAAGUACUACUUGACUAAGUAUCCAAAACUGGCUUCCAGCAGUGCAAGUAAUAUAUCCUACACUUUCAUCUUA